CGCACGCACACACACACACACACACACACACACACACACACACACACACACACACACACACACACACACACACACCUCUCGUCGCCAUCGGAGCGAGAUACCGUGCUCUCCCGUUCGUAGAACGGUCUCAGACCGGGACACGUAGGAUGCCGCAGGAUCCUACAGGAAACGCGUCGACGAUAGCGCGCACGCCGCGACGGAGAACGGAAGCGGAUGCUGAGAAGAAGGGCGGAAUAUCGGGAGCGCCCAAGGGAAUUUUCUCUCUCUCUCGUUAUUUCGCCUCCCGUGUUUGUACUCGCGUUCGCCCUCAGCCUCAGUAUCAGCCUCAGCCUCAGCUUCAGCCUCAGUCUCAGUCUCAGUCUCAGUCUCAGUCUCAGCCUUAGUCUCCACCCUCUGUCACCCUUUCGGAGAGCGAACGCUCUCUUUCUCUUGUCCACUCGUUCACGUAAACGCGCGCAAGCACGCACAUACAUACACACGCCCGCGUCUCCAGCUCUCUUUACCUUUCUCAUAUACCCGCUCUCUCAUUCACUCGCACCCGCGCCCUCCUCUCUCUCUCUUUCUCUUUCUCUCUCUCUGUGCCGGGACCCUCUCCCUUCGCGAGAUCCAGCCUCCCUUCCUGCACUCUGUCGAGGGCAGAGGGAGCCCACCGAGAGGGAAAAUCGAUCCUCGACGAUGUCCUACCCUAACCCCAACCCCUCGGCCUCGCGCUCCGGGUGUGCAUACACGCCCCUCUGGCACCCACUUUCCACGAUCCGGGUCAUGGGUCACUGCCACCGCUCGUUCUCUCUGCUCGCCGUCAAUCGUACGCAAGGGUUUAACACCGCGUGCGCUAUUAUCGCGGGAAACGUUGUAAAACGUCUCCUCUUUUACGAGAUAAUUAAACAUGUCCGCGUAUUGAGAGUAGCAACAUUUAUAUAUGAAACAACCUGUCACUGACUCUUCCUAGCUUGUAAAGAAUCUAACAUAAUUUCAAUAAAAAUACAAGCCAGUAUCAAUUUGACCAGUAAUCAUUUACUUAUUGGAGCAUUAAGAAAACUCUUGUUAGUUUAAGGAAUUGUGUGUGUUAGAAUAAUUCAAUUACGUGAUGAAAAUACAAUUUAAAACAAUAUGAAAUUGUAACAAGAAUUUAUUGUACAAUGCGAUGCACGAAUAAACGAUCUCAAGUCGAGAUGUGUGCGCGGUAAAUAAAUGAAAAAGCACUUGACCCUUUUGAAUGUGCUCGAGGGAGCUGAUAACAAAUAGUACCGAGUAUAUCGACACUAACGAGACACUAACGAGUAAUGCGACUGUAAAACUAUCAUCUGCUUCUAAAGGAUACUAUUUGUGUAACAGCUUCCUUCUCGAAAGCGUGUGAAAUUGUAAGCGCUAUUAUAUUCAAACGAAUAAUGUAUUUCUUUAUAUAUACGUGUCGUUCGAUCUUGCCACAAAUAUAUAUAUAUAUAUAUAUUUUUUUUUUUUUUUUAAUUCUUACUAUGAAAUUAUAUUAGCCACUUUCCAUUUAAUUUGCAUUAUUUCAUCAUCGAAUCAAAUUGAUUAACGUUUCGACGUUAAAUGUUUGUGUAGAUGAAAGAACCUGUUACCAAAAGCGAUUUGUCUAAAAAAAAGGGGGGGAGAGGGAGGGAGAGAGAGAGAGAGAGAGAGAGAGAGAGAGAGAGAGAGAGAGAGAGAAAGAGAGAGAGAGAAAUUAUAUAAUACAAACAAUACAAAAGUAUAAUAUAUACAAACAAUACAAAAGAGAAAGGUAUGUUGGAUUUCUAUAUAGCGUUUGUUAUUAUAUAAAAGAAAAGAAAAAAAAGAGAGAUUCGCGUAUCUGCAUGUCUAUAGGCUCGCUUGGGAGAAGGUAGGUCAUGGAAUUGGCGCGCUCCGCCAGAAAUGAGGCUAUCGACCUCUAGAGAAUUGAAAGAGGAAGGAGGUCGUGACCCACUGGCGGGCUGCUGCUGCAGAACGAUUUUCUCGUUAUCGUGCUCGUGUUAACCCUCCCGCCGAGACCUUGAGGUGAGCAAACGUGACAACGUUGCGUUUCUGAUCCGGCGAUCCGGGCCAGUCGAAACGCGUAUAUAAUGUCUAGCCGCAAGAAAUAAAUUAUAUUAUUUUAUUUUUAUUAUAAUUAUAAAAUAAUAAUAUAUAAUAUAAUAUUUAUAAGAAUUAAAUAAUAAUAAUAUAAUAACAAUAUAAUAAAAUAAUAUAAUUAUAAAAAAAAUAAAAGGCUGAAUAUAUUACAAUAUAUUAAAGUGGAAUCCUACAUUAAACAAUCAUCUUUCAACAAAAAAAGAACAAACCAGCGAUAUACGCGUUGCAAUGAGAAAACCAUUAUGUAACAGCGGUGACAUAUUCUGUUUUAUCGGAGCGUUGUGUAUCGCGCAAAAAAAACCUGUAACAAUCGCUCUCAAUCGUACUUUUUUUUUUACAUUUCCGCCGCUUUCAUUUAAUUAUCCUCUGUCCGAUCUCUGCGACCUCUUGUCGAACUCGAUCGUUGCGAGAGAAAGAAAGAAAGAAAGAGAGAGAGAGACAGAGAACAGGGCGCUUUGCGCACGGCGAUCAACAAAACGCCGCGUCGGAUUUUUCAAUCGCUUCCGGUUAAAGGUUAAACGUUCGACGCUCGCUCGCGGAGAAUUAAUUCGCGACGACAAAGCGGGGAGGAAAACGAUGAAAGCCGGAUCGUGCGCGAUAAUAACGUGUAUCGACUCGGACGGCGCGAGUCGAACGCGCGUUUGAUGUUGCAGCGGCAACAGCCAGCUAGGCGAAGCCCCUCCCGUGCCCUGAGCAUCGGCGGCGGCCACGUUAUCGAGCAGCAGGUAUAGAAUAUUAUACACGAGGUGUUAAUCUAGUCCCUAUAUACGAAGAGAGUGCUCCAACGGACAAUUCCGAGGGGAGUUCCCCUCGGCGAGACCGAUUGGCCGCAGUCUCCCUCGACACCACUUCUCGAUUCCUUCGACACGGACGCUUGAUUCAUUAUGUGACGUUGCACAUUCUGGCAUCCGAAUGGAUCGGUUAUGACACGGCAUCAACACGGUCCAUUGAGAAACGAGAGAACGAUAUGCCGGUUGUGUUAUUUUAAACUUCUCGUGCGGCUCAACUUCGAACGGGUAGGGCGAUGCAAUCCGCGAUUCUCGAUUGCGACUCCGUCGGUGAAUUGAAUGGCACGAGCAAUACCUAUUCCCGUAUAUUUAUAGUACAUUUAUCGGCGUCUUUAUUGCACAGGAUCGCUCGGCUGUUUGGUGUUUAAUUCAUCGUUAACUCGCCGUGGAAAAAAUGUACUGCUCGCAAAGCCUGCGAAACUGCACGAAGAAUGAAAACUCCGAACACGCGCGAGUAAUGCGUAACUGACGCAACGAAUACUGUUUACGGAGUUAGACCACUGUAAAAUUAAAAAAAAAAAAAAUGUUUUGGGCUAAAAACAUACCUUAAGGUAUCAAAAAUGCAAGUGGUCCCGAUACGAAAAGAAAAAUUUUAAUGGUGUUUAUGAAACCGUAUUGUCGAGCGGCUCGGAGCGCGCUCGAGCGAUUUCUCACUGACGAACGGGGCAAAACAGGCUCAUAGAGAUUCUAGAAUUACUAAGGAAAGAAGAGGAGGACAAAAAUGUUGAUUUAGAAGAGUAACUAUAUAUGGUGCCGGAAUAGCAGAUUAGUGGUAAAUUAAAUUUUUAUUUUAUUUAAGAAAUAUCAUUACUUAAAACUUUAAACGCGUUUUUCUCGAAGUCGUAUUUUUCAAAUCGGACGAAACAAUAACUCAUUGUCAGUCAAAUCUUUACCGAUUCACGUAAAAUUUUGACUGUAGCUUCAAAAUAAAAUUUUUCGCAGAAGUAAUACGGAUUUUUAAUUUCAUUGUAAAAUUUUUUGUUAUACACAAUUUUUUUCUAAAAAUAAAACUUUUCAUAUGUGCGCCAUUUUCGCAAAAAAAAAAAACAGAAAAAAAUUUCCGUAUGUACUUCUAUAGAAAAUGACGUUUAGAUCUUAAAAAUUUUUAGUUUUUUGUUCUAGGUCAAGAAUUCUAAGAGAAACUUUUUCGCCCGUGUGACCCUUCCAAAAAAUAAUGAUUAUGCUACUGGACGUCUAUCAUCGACAUUUUUAUUAUUUAAAAAAAAAAGUAUUCUUAAAAAGACGAACGAUCAAGUGCUUAACUUGAAUUUUCUUUCUUGUAUUGUUUAUUUUCGUAAAUAAUUGUCAAAUGAUCUAACUUCUUAAAUCUCAACUGCAAGGGUUCAUCACCUAAUAAUUUGUCAUAAAUAUUCCAGGAAAAUGUCUCAGGAUCGAUGGAUUCUUUUCGACUUCGCGUGAUUAAAAAAAGUUGAGAAACACAACAAAUAAAAAUCCAGUUGUAUAUUUUUAUCAUCCGAA
Monomorium pharaonis (pharaoh ant) is the source of this 4340-nucleotide long non-coding RNA. RefSeq lists it as uncharacterized. The record is from RefSeq and is a predicted model, not a curated record. The transcript has 3 exons. Lineage: Eukaryota; Metazoa; Arthropoda; Insecta; Hymenoptera; Formicidae.